CAUCCCACGGAAACGCGCACGCGCGCACAGCACGUAUUCUCGCUCUCCUCCUCCACAGCCGCGCCGCCGAACGCCGCGAAAAAGCUAAAGCAAGCCGAUAUGCCGUUGCCGCUCAUGUCCUCGCUGUCAUCCGCCGCGGGAGUCAUGAAAAGCAUCGCACCAACGGCCAGCGCACCAGAGCCGUCCUUCGCGUCGUUUGUGCUAGAGCGUGUCUCGCGCAACCCGUUCCUGAUUGGUGAGACGCCCCGCUCUCUGCGCCCUCCACCAUCGCAACCGGCUGCAACGGAGGAUGCACUGUCGAUACCCAGCGCGCUAGAUGCAGCACAGCGCGCGGUGAUCGCGCAGGCAAGCACCUCUGGCACAGCCGCGACGUCAAGCCCGGCGUCUGCGCUGGCGGUGACGGCGGUGCUGCAGCGGGCCCUUAUCGACGCGCCUCUGCUCCCAGUUGGCGGCUGUCACCUCCUGCACGAGCACGUCUGGACUCACUUUCUCGCGAGUGCAGAGGCGGCGAAGCAGGUGGGCUGCUACCGCAAGGCGCUGCAGCUGUGCAAGGUGCGACAAGCAGAACCCGGCACGGGGGUGAACGCGCCACUGCAGGAGCAGCCGCAGGCGCCCCGCACGGAGGCGACGGCGUCCACUUGUGAUGGAGCGCUGAGCAGUACAACACGAGGCGCUGCCGUUGACCUGUUCGCCGCCUCGCCGCUUGCGUCUUCGCCGACCGAUAACCAGCAGCGAAGCUAUCAAGGCGGCGUGGGUCUUCUCCAGACACCAGAAGAGCUGAGUCUGGCCUUGACUGAAGAUGCCCUGCAGGCAAACAUAGAGCAGGCGCUCACGCGACUCGCGGGGUCUCGGGAAGAGCUGCAGCGGGGCUUGGCGAAGCUGCGCCGGCUCUUGGACGGCCUGCGCGCGUACGACGCGGUGCCGUUCGAGGAGCUGGCACGACAGGAACAGGAGGCGGUACGUCGCCUCUUCGCACCUGUAGCAGCGACGGCGGCGGAUGGUAGUGCGCGUAGCAACACCGAUACGAGUAGCAGCAGCGCCGUUCUCGCGACGGGUGCUGCUGCCGCUGUGGAACGGGUUGCGCAGGCAGUGCUUGGUGAAGCAAACAUGCUGGCGGAUCGAAAGCGGUCACGUGAGGGGUAGUAUGCCCUCUUCUUCUGGGCAGCGCGUGAGCCGUGAGUGCUGGUAGGCUGAGGUGCAAGCCGAAGUGGCUCGAUCUCAUGGAAAGCGCAGCGAGACGAAGAGGGGGGCGAGUGUGUCAGCACCGUUACCGCUCUUAUCGUUUAACAGAGCAAACAUCCCGCCCCCUGGAGCGCCGUUCGCACCCACACUUUCUCUCUGUCCCCUGUGGGUGUGUGGGCGCGCACAGCUUUACCCUAGCCCCCUCCCCCUCCAACCCACGUCAGCACACGCACACGCGCACAGAACACAUCCUCCCCCCCUGCCGUGCUUCGCUGUCCAUAACCUUCGUAAGGAACGGCGCCUGCCGUCAUCUAUCGCUGUCGAGACACUCAACCUCAUUGCGUACGCGUGUUGUUGUUGAGGUUCGUGCGUGUAUUAGGCCUGGAAGCCGUCGAGGCACACACACCUCUCAGUGCGUGGUAUUCCAGGGUCCGGUGUACCCCCCCCCAAUCUGUGUGUGUGUGGGGGGAAGGCGGGCCAAGCAGAGCCCACCCCCCUUCAUCCCCGCCAACGCCGCAACGCCCCUGGCCAUAGCAGGGUCAGGUCCUGGAUGGUGCCGCGACAGUGCGCGCGUCUGUGCCACCCAUGUGCUGGGCAGGGCGACCCGCGUGGGUCGUGUGUGUCUCCCUCGGGCCCCCGCUGUCCACCGGUGGGUGGCCCCGAGGCGACCUGCGAGGCGGAGGGGUGGGAGGGCAGAGUGUGAGGGGCAGGGGGGCCGCGCGCUCAGCCGACCGAGUCGGCACACGGCCGUCACACACGUGUGUCUGCAGCUGCUUGGAUUGUGUUACGCGGCGGAGAAGCGAACGCAACGCAGGAUUCCUGAUGAGGUGGCAGCGGGUUGUUGCCCAAGCCAACAUAUGCACGCAUGUCUAACGUGCCCUAGUCCGGCCCCAACGCAUCCAUGCCGUCGUGCACCCCCCCCCCGCCAUCACCAUCUUCGCCUUCCUGCCGCCCCUUCGCCUCUCCCCUUCACCCCUGCGAGCCUGCGAGCGCGCUGGCUCCUGCCUCCAAG
RNAcentral lists this unclassified non-coding RNA (2194 nucleotides) under Leishmania donovani. Its description in RNAcentral is "gene:LdHU3.04.0690(CDS-product:Zinc_finger_C3HC4_ type_(RING_finger)_containing_protein_putative)". Lineage: Eukaryota; Euglenozoa; Kinetoplastea; Trypanosomatida; Trypanosomatidae. The record is from RNAcentral.